RNAcentral lists this ribosomal RNA (490 nucleotides) under uncultured bacterium. RNAcentral's name for it is "partial 16S ribosomal RNA". It matches the Rfam family "Bacterial small subunit ribosomal RNA", at positions 28 to 505 of the family's 1533-position model. The record is from RNAcentral.
GAUGAACGCUAGCUACAGGCUUAACACAUGCAAGUCGAGGGGAAACGACAUCGAAAGCUUGCUUUUGAUGGGCGUCGACCGGCGCACGGGUGAGUAACGCGUAUCCAACCUGCCCAUCACUUGGGAAUAACCUUGCGAAAGUAAGACUAAUACCCAAUGAUAUCCCACGAAGGCAUCGGAAUGGGAUUAAAGAUUUAUCGGUGAUGGAUGGGGAUGCGUCUGAUUAGCUUGUUGGCGGGGUAACGGCCCACCAAGGCAACGAUCAGUAGGGGUGCUGAGAGGAAGGUCCCCCACAUUGGAACUGAGACACGGUCCAAACUCCGACGGGAGGCAGCAGUGAGGGAUAUAGGUCAAUGGGCGAGAGCCUGAACCAGCCAAGUAGCGUGCAGGAAGACGGCCCUAUGGGUUGUAAACUGCUUUUAUAAGGGAAUAAAGUGGGUCACGUGUGACUUUUUGCAUGUACCUUAUGAAUAAGGACCGGCUAAUUCCG